GAUGAAGAACGCAGCGAAAUGCGAUACUUGGUGUGAAUUGCAGAAUCCCGUGAACCAUCGAGUCUUUGAACGCAAGUUGCGCCCGAAGCCAUUAGGCCGAGGGCACGCCUGCCUGGGCGUCACACGUCGUUGCCCCCCCAUCUACUCCUUCGGGAUUGCGGGGGGCGGAUGAUGGCCUCCCGUGCGCCUCGCCGCGCGGUUGGCAUAAAUGCCAAGUCCUCGGCGACGCACGUCACGACAAUCGGUGGUUGCGAAACCUCGGUUGCCCGUCGUGUGCGGUCGUCGCGCAUCGAGGGCUCGAAAAAAUUGCCGGGUUCCGGCUCGGCUUUCAACGCGACCCCAGGUCAGGCGGGGUUACCCGCUGAAUUUAAGCAUAUCAAUAAGCGGAGGA
Molecule: unclassified non-coding RNA, 391 nt
Filed under: soil metagenome
Description: partial contains 5.8S ribosomal RNA, internal transcribed spacer 2, and large subunit ribosomal RNA
Rfam family: 5.8S ribosomal RNA (bases 1-122)
Source: RNAcentral